UGCGCGGUCCCCGCAACCCCUCUCCGCCCACCCCGGCGGCCACCUCGGGGGUGAGGCAGCCCGGCGCGUGGGAGGGGACGGCGCGCCAUUGGCUUGUGUGCGGAACUAGAGGAGGGACCAGUGGGGCCGCCAGACUAGGGCGAGCCCGGCGGCGCAGGAGUCCAGCCGGCCCUGCCCUGCCCUGCCCUGCCCUGCCGUGCCCUGCCUACCCCGCGCGGCGGCGCGAUGUGAGGCGUCCCGGGCCGGAGCGUCCGCCCGUACGCCAGCUCCGCGAGCGCGGCGCCCCACGCGCUAGGAACGUAAGUCCACUCCCCGCCGCCGCGAGCCUAGCACUUCCCGCAGCCGCCGGCCGCUGCCUGCGCAGCGCAGCCCGCGGGCGCCCGGGGCCGCAACGACCGCCGGGGACAGCGAUCACAUCGCGCGCGCCCGCCCAGCCCCGGGACAGCUUGGCACCUGCGGGUCCGUGAGCACCCGGGACCCUCUCCCGGCUGCGCAAGGCGACGUCCGCUGCUUCUUCUGUUUGUCCCCUUCUCUUUCUCUCCUCCCUCUGACUUGGUUUCCCUCUCUUCCCUCGGCUUUCUGCCUCCGCCACCUCCUUCCUCUAGGACUGUUUAUUUCGCACUCGGCCCUCCCUUCUCGGGCUCGCACUCUCUGCUUCGUAGCGCGCGAGAAACAGAGCGAAAAGCAGUUUCGCUGUCGCUGGGGUCUCCGUCCCCUCCUCCCUCGUCUCUCUCCACCGCACCCUCCCGCCUUUGUUUCCUGGCCCGGGGAGUGCGCGUUGCAAACUUGCGAGUUCCUCGGUCUUCACCCCCGCAUCAAGGCCAGGAACCGAGAUGCUGGCGGAGUUCCCACUGCCCACAGCCUGUCGUCCUCCCCUGACACUCCUCUCUUCCUGGCCUGGCGAACCCUAAAGACUUCAUAUGGCUUUGCCUUGAUGUCACCUAGGCGCUGCCAUCUCAGGGGCUGCAGCAGAGGAGAGGAGUGAGAGGGGGCUGCAAAGAGCCCCUAGGCCUGCAAAGAGCCUUGUGCUGCUCCCCGCUCAUCAGUUCAGUCAGGUACUGGUGGAGUUCCUGAACCAGGCACUGUCCCAGCACAGAGACAGAAGUGCCAGGCAUCAGAAAUGCCAGUGCCUUCUGAGGUGGGGGGUCAGGCUGGGUCCAGCAUUCCUAUCUAGUCCUCUCCUCACCAUGGUUUG
This 1195-nucleotide long non-coding RNA is filed under the name Castor canadensis (American beaver). Its description in RNAcentral is "lncRNA (ENSCCNG00000007998.1)". Lineage: Eukaryota; Metazoa; Chordata; Mammalia; Rodentia; Castoridae. The record is from RNAcentral.